AUUGAACGCUGGCGGCAGGCUUAACACAUGCAAGUCGAGCGGGGGAAGGUAGCUUGCUACCGGACCUAGCGGCGGACGGGUGAGUAAUGCUUAGGAAUCUGCCUAUUAGUGGGGGACGACAUCUCGAAAGGGAUGCUAAUACCGCAUACGUCCUACGGGAGAAAGCAGGGGAUCUUCGGACCUUGCGCUAAUAGAUGAGCCUAAGUCGGAUUAGCUAGUUGGUGGGGUAAAGGCCUACCAAGGCGACGAUCUGUAGCGGGUCUGAGAGGAUGAUCCGCCACACUGGGACUGAGACACGGCCCAGACUCCUACGGGAGGCAGCAGUGGGGAAUAUUGGACAAUGGGGGGAACCCUGAUCCAGCCAUGCCGCGUGUGUGAAGAAGGCCUUAUGGUUGUAAAGCACUUUAAGCGAGGAGGAGGCUACUUUGGUUAAUACCUGGAGAUAGUGGACGUUACUCGCAGAAUAAGCACCGGCUAACUCUGUGCCAGCAGCCGCCGUAA
RNAcentral lists this ribosomal RNA (501 nucleotides) under uncultured bacterium. Its description in RNAcentral is "partial 16S ribosomal RNA". It matches the Rfam family "Bacterial small subunit ribosomal RNA", at positions 30 to 523 of the family's 1533-position model. The record is from RNAcentral.